CCGCGCCCACCACGUCUCCUUCCCCAAUCUCCCGUUUCUCUCUCUCUCUCCUGCUGAAUUUCUGUUGCCCCCGCUCCAACCUGCAGUACGCCAUCCGUGCCCCGUCGUGUACUCGCCGUCCGAAUACCAGGUAUACACCGCGCGUUGUGCAUCGCCGCUGCCAAUGCCUUACUCCACAGGCCACGCCGCCGCAAUCCUUUGCCGUCUCCGGUUGCUGCUCGUCACGCCGCCCCUGCGACCAGUAGAGGCUACCGGAGGUAGCCACACCGCCUCAUUUCACCUAGCGUUUCAGACCAACACCAACCAUCUCUAGGCAGCGCCACCUUACUCUCUAAUUGACCGACCACCGCUCCGAGUUGAGUAAGAGCUCAGCCACUGUCGCGGUCGCAGCUCCUAGCUCCUCCGUCGCACAGUGCCACUGCAUCAAAGUUGCUAGUGGAGGAAGUGGGGUUUUACACAACAAAUAUGGACCCUACAAAAGAAGUGAUUCCGGGAGACUACCACGGAUGAUGCUAACGAGUCAUCACAAGGGCAACGCAUUCCUCCACUCCCACUCAAUGUAAGUACUAAGACGGUUAAGUCCCAAACUACUCUAAGUUGGAAGGCUAAGGAUGAAGGAACUAGUAGUGAGGGAUUUGUGCCCAUAACAUUUAGUGUUGAGGCUUGCAGACAAGCCUUAGCAGAGAUGAUUAUUCGUGAUGAGUUGCCCUUUAAGUUCGUUGAGGGGGAGGGUUUCAAGAAGUUUAUGCAUGUUGUUUACCCUAUGUGGGUAGAGAUUCCAUCUCGUGUUACGAUUGCGAAUGAUUGUUUUACUGUGUAUUUGAGGGAAAAAAAUAAGUUGAGAAGUGCUCUUCAAGGGCAACGGAUUUCCCUUACCACGGAUACGUGGACAUCCAUGCAGAACCUGAAUUAUAUGUGUCUCACUGCGCAUUUAUUGAUGAUGAUUGGAAUCUACACAAGAUGAUUCUUUCUUUUUCUUUAGUAGAAAAUCACAAGGGUGAUACACUUGGUAGGGCCAUAGAGAUGUGCUUGCAUGAUUGAGGGCGACCGAAAAUACUUGCAAUCACUCUUGAUAAUGCAAGUUCUAAUAACGGAGCAAUUUUUUAUUUGAAAAAGAAAACCAAGUAUAGGAAGGACACUGUUUUGGAACAUGAAUUCUUGCAUAUUUGAUGUUGUACCCACAUCUUAAAUUUAAUCGUUCGUGAGGGGUUGAAAGAAUAUGAUGAGUCUAUUGCCAAGGUGAGAGGUGUUGUGAAAUAUGUUAAAUCCUCUCCUCAAAGGUGGAGUACAUUUAAGAAAUGUGUACAACUAGAAGAGAUUACGUGCAAAAGUCAUGUUUGCCUAGAUGUGCCAACUAGGUAGAACUCCACCUAUCUUACGUUGAAGAGGGCUGAAAAAUUUCAAAAAACUUUUAAACGGUUAGAGGAAGAAGAUUCGGGGUUCCUUACUAGUAUUGGAGACGACAAUGAUGAUGAUGAUGAUGUGGUGAGUAGGAGAACGUCAAAAAAGUUAGAGCCUCCCAACAAUAAUGAUUGGGAGAAGGUAAGGUUGUUUGUGAGCUUUCUUCAACUAUUUUAUGACGCAACUUUACGUUUCUCGGGGGCUGAAUAUGUAACUUGCAACUCUUUUUUUACGAAGUUAUUUAUAAUUCAAGAUGCGAUUAACAUGGAGUGUGAAAAAGGAAGCCUGAGAUUAAUGGCAACAAAUAUGAGGAAAAAGUUUGACAAAUAUUGGGGCAACAUGGAUAAUUUGAAUAUGUUGUUGUAUGGUGGGCUUAUUCUUGAUCCUCGAUAUAAGAUGCGAUAUCUUGAGUUUUUAUUCGAAUUAAUGUAUGUCCAUGAUCCAACAAAAGCAGUUGAUUUGAGUUUGAAGGUGAAAAAUAUUUUAACCUGCAUGUAUGAUGCAUACGUUGAAAAUGAAGAAGGGAACAAUUCUGGUCAACAACAGCAGCGCACAAGUCCCUCAUGUGAAUAUGUAAAUCCUACAGGUAGUAGAUUUAAGGAUAGAACGGCACAUAGAAUGGCCUUAUUUAAGCAAUGGUUACAGUCAACAAACUCUUUGCAAAGCAAGUUAGAGGUUGAUAGAUACCUAACUGAAAGUUGUGUGGAACAAGAGGCAAAUUUUGAUAUUCUAAAUUAGUGGAAGGUUAAUUCAGUUAGAUAUGGCGUACUUUCAAAAGUUGCAUGUGAUAUUCUUGCAACACCAGUGUCUACAGUGGCCUCUGAAUCUGCAUUUAACAUGACAGGUCAUGUACUUGAUCAUUUUCAAAGUAGUUUAUCUCUGAUGAUGGUAGAAGGCCUCAUUUGUGCCCAUAAUUGGCUUCGUUCUUCUUCUAUUCCAAUUGUCCUUAGGACUUUAAUGGAUAAAGUGGAGGAUUUUGGGAAGCAGCUAGAUAUGGAAUUUGUUGGGGACGUUGAAAGUUCUAUCGAGGCGUCGAAUACAAUGUCUACACCUAAUGCAGAUGAAUGAGUAAAGUUGUGGACACUUGGAGUUUUGGACUUGGAGACUGUUAUGCCCUUUUAUUUUUUAUUCAAUCAUUUGUAAUUUGUAAUAUCACUUUAUAAGUAGGUGGGUUAUGGCUAGAUGCAUAGAUUGUAAAUUGUAAUAAUUUUUAUGUGUCAUUUACUUUA
Juglans microcarpa x Juglans regia is the source of this 2630-nucleotide long non-coding RNA. RefSeq lists it as uncharacterized. The transcript has 8 exons. The record is from RefSeq and is a predicted model, not a curated record. Lineage: Eukaryota; Viridiplantae; Streptophyta; Magnoliopsida; Fagales; Juglandaceae.